Molecule: long non-coding RNA, 960 nt
Filed under: Mus musculus (house mouse)
Lineage: Eukaryota; Metazoa; Chordata; Mammalia; Rodentia; Muridae
Description: RIKEN cDNA 1700071M16 gene, transcript variant 2 (1700071M16Rik)
Source: RNAcentral
AGAAACCAAGGGAACCUCUUCUAAUAACCUGUGGCUCUCCAACUUCUCUACUUUAGGAACCUGUUCACCUGGAAUUUAGGAGUCACAGAUCUGUGGGUAUAGACAGUGUGAGAUCAUCCUCAAGUUACCUGCUGUGCUCUCCAAAGGACACAGACUGAGACCCAUGUGCGUCACCGCUCUUUAAGAUGAACAGGCAGAAAGGGCCAUGUCCCUUUGGACCUCUAGAGUCCAGACUGUCAUCUUCUUGCAAGCCUCUUCACCUCCGCAGGACCAGCUUUGCUUGUCAAGACACAAGACCAAUCCUACCUUCAUGGAACAGCGAUGAAGCUGCCUUGUAAACUCCAAGGAUCUCUCACCAAAGCUGAAGCACAUUAUGUCAUCUAUAAUGGUUUUCCAAUAAGCUUCAGGGAUCCUCCCGUUUCUACACCCCUCCCCCCAUAACAAAGAAAUCUCACAUCAGUGGUGGCGAUCCAAACUCAUGACCUCAUGCUUGCACAGUGGCUACUUCAUCACCUGGGCCAUCCCCCCAGUCCUUGCAUUCUCACAUAUCAAAACAUGCAACAUCUUAAAGUUGCUCAGAGAGUAAUGCCUCUUACCUGACGGCCUGAAGUCAAAAGAAGAUGUGUCUUGCCAGUGAAAAGGAUGGACCCAUGGGAGGCAGCAGAGGAGGCAGAAAAGCGCCUGCAGUUUGAGUGGUACCAUCUUAGGAGCUGAGCAGUGGCUUCAGUUUGAUGUUCUUCAGAGCAGAUAAUUAAAAGAAAAGAAAUACAAUGAAUGUACUGAAGUGCCCAGUAAUGUUAACAGUGAAACAUGUAUUGCUUAUUCAGAGAAAGCUGGCAAAAUCCUUGAUGCUAAUGGGUGGCAGAACAUGGGAAUAACAUUUCAAGACAGCUAAAUAUGAUUUUCUCUAUUUUUACAAGAGUCUUUUGGUUAUAAGAAAAACAUGGAGUCAUGAUAGUG